RNAcentral lists this long non-coding RNA (2397 nucleotides) under Ornithorhynchus anatinus (platypus). Its description in RNAcentral is "lncRNA (ENSOANG00000050052.1)". Lineage: Eukaryota; Metazoa; Chordata; Mammalia; Monotremata; Ornithorhynchidae. The record is from RNAcentral.
UUUCUUCCAGAGGCCCCAGGACCCCCAGACAGUCGACCUGGUCUUGCAGCUCCUGGAUCGAGACUGCGACGGAGCCGUAGAUUUCAACGAGUUCCUCCUGCUCGUGUUCAAGGUGGCCCAGGCUGCUACAGCGCCCUGAGCCAGGUAGCGGGGAACACCAAGAACGAGAGAGGUCGCGACUUCUCUCAGGAACGCCUGUCGCGACAGGAGGAAGAUCAGCGCUGCCGAGGACUGCGCGACGGGGAGCAGCGUCGACAGCAGGAGCAGGAGGAAGAGCUACAGCGCGAGAGGCGCUGUGAGGAGGAGGAGGAGGAGGAACAGCGUCAAAGGCAGCGAGAAGAAAGGCGUGAACAGCGCUGUGACGAAGAGGCACAGCGUGAAAGGCAACGCCAACAGCGCUGUGAAGAGGAACGGCGCCAAAGACAGCGCGAAAGACAACGCGAGCAGCGCUGUGAGGAGGAACAGCGCGAGCAGCGCUGUGAGGGGGAGGAACAGCGUCAGAGACAGCGCGAAGAACGCUGUGAGGAAGAGGAGCAACGGGAAAGACGGCGUGAGCAGCGCUGGGAGGAAGAACAGCGUCAGAGAGAACGGGAGCGGCGUUGUGAGGAAGAGGCGCAGCGAGAACUGCAGCGCGAAAGACGUCGUGAACAGCGCUGUGAGGAGGAACAGCGCGAACAGCGCUGCGAGGAGGAGCAGCGUGAGAGACGUCGUGAACAGCGCUGCGAGGAGGAGGAACAGCGUCUGAGACAGGGUGAGCGGCGCUGCGAGGAGGAACAGCGUGAGAGACGUCGUGAACAGCGCUGCGAGGAGGAGGAACAGCGUCUGAGACAGCGUGAGCGGCGCUGCGAGGAGGAACAGCGUGAGAGACGGCGUGAGCAGCGCUGCGAGGAGGAACAGCGUGAGAGACGGCGUGAACAGCGCUGCGAGGAGGAGGAACAGCGUCUGAGACAGCGUGAGCAGCGCUGCGAGGAGGAACAGCGUGAGAGACGUCGCGAACAGCGCUGUGAGGAGGAGGAACAGCGUCUGAGACAGCGUGAGCAGCGCUGCGAGGAGGAACAGCGAGAGAGACGUCGCGAACAGCGCUGCGAGGAGGAGGAACAGCGUCUGAGACAGCGUGAGCAGCGCUGCGAGGAGGAACAGCGAGAGAGACGUCGCGAACAGCGCUGCGAGGAGGAGGAACAGCGUCUGAGACAGCGUGAACAGCGCUGCGAGGAGGAACAGCGAGAGAGACGUCGCGAACAGCGCUGCGAGGAGGAGGAACAGCGUCUGAGACAGCGUGAGCAGCGCUGCGAGGAGGAACAGCGUGAGAGACGUCGCGAACAACGCUGCGAGGAGGAGGAACAGCGUCUGAGACAGCGUGAGCAGCGCUGCGAGGAGGAACAGCGUGAGAGACGUCGUGAACAGCGCUGCGAGGACGAGGAACAGGUUCUGAGACAGAGUGAGCAGCGCUGCGAGGAGGAACAGCGUGAGAGAUUCAGUGGACAGUGCUGUGAGGACGAAGAACAGCUCCUGAGGCAGCGCAAGCAGAGCUGCGCGGAGGAGGAGGAACAGCGUCUGAGACAGCGGCUAAGGCGGCGCGAAGAAAAACGGCGUCUAAGGCAGCAAGAGGAGCGUUGUGAGGAGGAGAGGCGACAGAGGCAGCGCCAAAGGGACGAAGCCUGCGAGGGAGCCAAGCGUCGCCCCGUGAGCUGGAGGUGGCAGGUGGAGAGGGAAGGCCAGGCCCGCCAGAACAAGCUCUACUCCCGACCCCGGGUGCCAGAGCGGGUCCGCCGGCCGGCCCGGGACCAACGACUCCAAGACGCUGAAGAGAGCUGCCGACGGGAAAAGGAAAGGCGGCGCAGGGAGGAGGAGGAGCAGUUCCGCAGACUGGACCGGGACCAACGACUCCGUGAAGAGGAGGAGGAGGAGGAGGAGGAACAAAGGGCCCGGGACGUGGAGCAGAACCGGAGCCUGAACUGGGAGUGGCAGGUAGAGGAGGAGAAAGCCCAACGCCGCAACAAACUCUAUUCCAAGCCCCGGUCCCAGGAGGAGACCCGAAGGGAAAAGCAGGAGAGGAAGCUGAGAGAGGAGCUGGAAGAACUGAGGCAGCAGGAGAGAGAUAGCCAAUGUCGGGGUGAAGACCAGGUCCGCAGGCAGGAGAGAGAGAGGAAGCUGAGAGAGGAGCUGGAGGAACUGAGGCAGCAGGGGAGAGAUCGUCAAUGCCGGGGUGAAGACCAGGUCCGCAGGCAGGAGAGAGAGAGGAAGCUGAGAGAGGAGCUGGAAGAAUUGAGGCAGCAGGAGAGAGAUCGCCAAUGCCAAAGUGAAGACCAGAUCCGCAGGCAGGAGAGAGAGAGGAAGCUGAGAGAGGAGCUGGAGGAACUGAGGCAACAGGGGAGAGAUUCGUCAAUGCCGGGGUGA